RNAcentral lists this small RNA (78 nucleotides) under Vibrio parahaemolyticus. RNAcentral describes it as "isrK". It matches the Rfam family "isrK Hfq binding RNA". Lineage: Bacteria; Pseudomonadati; Pseudomonadota; Gammaproteobacteria; Vibrionales; Vibrionaceae. The record is from RNAcentral.
GCACUGGCAAAAUCCAGUGUCGAGAUUAGCCUCUCGAAACUUACUAGGCGCAAGUCGCCAGCAUCCCGCUGGUUUUUU